RNAcentral lists this long non-coding RNA (360 nucleotides) under Mytilus galloprovincialis (Mediterranean mussel). Lineage: Eukaryota; Metazoa; Mollusca; Bivalvia; Mytilida; Mytilidae. The record is from RNAcentral.
AACAAGAAAGUUUUUGCUGAGGACACUUCAUGAAGCACACGGAGUUCAACAUCUCGUGACAGGACUAACGGAUAAGGAAAAUAUUCAUCAAUAGAUUAACGUUUAUAUAAUUAUGUGUGCAAACUAGCCGAUUCUUUUAAAAAAAACAUUCUCUCAAGAUGUGUUUUGUGUCAAAUAUUAUGUGGCAACUUUACUACAGAUGAAGGAAUAUUUCUACACUAUUUCAGAAACUUGGACUUUUUAUAAAAACUUGAUAAAUCGCUCAAUAACCUUCCGAAUGCUACCGAUUUUAAAUUUGUUACUAUCUAGUAUGUUUUGGCUUAAUUUGUAUAUGUGUAUUAUUUCUACCAGUAACAAGAG